This 1319-nucleotide ribosomal RNA is filed under the name uncultured bacterium. Its description in RNAcentral is "bacterial SSU rRNA". It matches the Rfam family "Bacterial small subunit ribosomal RNA", at positions 29 to 1393 of the family's 1533-position model. The record is from RNAcentral.
AUGAACGCUGGCGGCAUGCCUAACACAUGCAAGUCGAACGCUCUAGCUUGCUAGAGAGUGGCGGACGGGUGAGGAACAUAUGGGUGAUCUACCCUCAAGUGAGGAAUACCAUCGAGAAAUCGGUGACAAUACCGCAUACCAUUGCACAGCAGAUGUGCACUGAAAGUCGCAAGACGCUUGAGGACGAGCCUGUACCCGAUUAGAUAGUUGGUGGGGUAAAAGCCUACCAAGUCGACGAUCGGUAGCUGGUCUGAGAGGACGAUCAGCCACACUGGGAUUGAGAACGGCCCAGACUCCUACGGGGGGCAGCAGUGAGGAAUAUUCGUCAAUGGGGGAAACCCUGAACGAGCAAUGCCGCGUGCAGGAAGAAGGCUUUCGGGUCGUAAACUGCUUUUUUCGAGGAAGAGUACGGACGGUACUCGAAGAAUCAGCCCCGGCUAACUACGUGCCAGCAGCCGCGGUAAUACGUAGGGGGCGAGCGUUAUCCGGAGUUACUGGGCGUAAAGCGUCCGCAGGCGGUCUUUUAAGUUUGAACUGACAGUUCUCGGCUUAACCGAGGAAGUGGUUCGAAAACUGGAAGACUUGAGGGUCCGAGAGGAAGAUGGAAUUCCAGGUGAAGCGGUGAAAUGCGUAGAUAUCUGGAGGAACACCAAAGGCGAAGGCAGUCUUCUGGAGGAAACCUGACGCUCAGGGACGAAAGCUAGGGGAGCGAACGGGAUUAGAUACCCCGGUAGUCCUAGCCGUAAACGAUGACCACUAGAUGUAGGGGGUAUCGACCCCCCCUGUGUCGAAGCUAACGCAUGAAGUGGUCCGCCUGGGGAGUACGGUCGCAAGAUUAAAACUCAAAGAAAUUGACGGGGACCCGCACAAGCAGCGGAGCGUGUGGUUUAAUUCGAAGCAACGCGAAGAACCUUACCAGGACUUGACAUGUAUCUGCACCAGCGGUAACGCGCUGUCCCUUCGGGGCGGAUACACAGGUGCUGCAUGGCUGUCGUCAGCUCGUGUCGUGAGAUGUUGGGUUAAGUCCCGCAACGAGCGCAACCCCCAGAGUCGGUUAAAUCUCUCCGGCUCGACUGCUGUGACCAACACAGAGGAAGGUGGGGAUGACGUCAAGUCAGCACGGCCCUUACGUUCUGGGCUACACACACGCUACAAUGGCCGAGACAAAGAGCAGCGAACCCGCGAGGGGAAGCGAAUCUCGUCAAACUCGGUCUCAGUUCAGAUUGGAGGCUGCAACCCGCCUCCAUGAAGUCGGAGUUGCUAGUAACCGUAGGUCAGCACAACUACGGUGAUACAAUCCCGGGUCUUGUACUCACCGC